This is a long non-coding RNA of Lagenorhynchus albirostris (white-beaked dolphin), 858 nucleotides long. RefSeq lists it as uncharacterized. The record is from RefSeq and is a predicted model, not a curated record. NCBI's taxonomy places the organism in Eukaryota, Metazoa, Chordata, Mammalia, Artiodactyla, Delphinidae. The transcript has 3 exons.
GCACUUGCGGCCUGAGAGUACGAAGGGGACGCCUCGCUCCAGCUCCAGGGCCGGAGGACAAGUCAGCGGGGGCUCAGCGCAGAGCGGCAGGAGAGACCCAGGCUGAGCAAAGGCAGGACGUCAGUCGGUGCUUUGCCAGAUUCCAACAGGCAUCCUGGUAUUUUUGUGGCUCGAGUUGAACGAACAAGCGUCAGCUCUUCUUCAAAGAGGCGGUCACACCCACCCCGUUUGGUGCUGACCCUGCGAAGGCAUCAGAAGGAAAAAGAGGUCUUACUACCAAUUACCUCAUGCUCGGUAGGAUGACACAAUCAUUCCAUGACUGCGACUCUGCAGGCUGGCCCAAGUAUGCUUCUCGUCCUCUCCCCUGUUCCCGAAGUCUCCCGCUACCAGCCUAUCCGUCAUCCGCAUUCCUGCCUCUAGCCUCAUGCCAAAGGAGACAUUCCAGCCCAGAGGAUAAACAUGGCAGUUUGAUACUGAUUUGUUGUACAUUGCUUUAAACGAUUGUAUUUCUUGAGGAUGGGGAAGAAAACUGAAGAAUCUGAAACAAAGUCUUUCCCACUUGCAUUGGAAUAGCAUCAUUUCUGGGAGGCACAGAGGCAGAGUUCAGCUAGACCACGAACCACACCAUGUAUAACCAGGAUUGGAGGCAGACGCUCCUUCCCGUGCCAUUUGGUGUACCCAGGUAUCUCCCCAGCGUGACAUCAAAGCCCAGCAGUUGUACAAGCCUUUGUGUUUACACAAGGACUGUUCCUCGUAACUAUCUAAAGGAAACACCUCAUGGAGAAUUGGAGACAAAUGUAUGUUAUUUUCAAUAUGGAAACACAUACAGGCAUAGUGCCUCUCGAAGUGUCCUUCAAU